GUUUAACACGAUUAAAUCCUCUUUGUUUCAUUACAGACAUCAAUUCGAAAACAAACAGUGUGAUCAAGAUAAAGGCCUGGAGCAGCAUUCUGUUUCUCUUUCUCUUCUUUUUCUCAGAGAGCUAUCACCACCUCUCAGUGGACAGGCUUAAAGGAACUUAACUGGCUCACAGAAAAUUGAUGAGCUGAGCUGAGCAGGUGUACAGGAAAGCUUUGCGCUGCAGGGUUAGGCAAUGGAAAAAGUGUGAAGCACUUAUGUCCAUGACCAGAUCGAGUGAUAAGAGGACCGGCUUCCUUUGCUAUCUAAUUAAUUGUCUUUCUUUUCAAAACAUGGUCUUUGAUUUCAAGAAGCACCUGAAGAAGCAUAACCUCUUGGCGGCUCCACUUCUGUUCUUCGAAUGGUCAUCUUCUGCCUCCAGGAAAGGAAUAUGAGGAAUCGAGAAUGACAAUCAUGAAGGCCAA
This is a long non-coding RNA of Leopardus geoffroyi (Geoffroy's cat), 461 nucleotides long. RefSeq lists it as uncharacterized. The record is from RefSeq and is a predicted model, not a curated record. The transcript is spliced from 3 exons. Lineage: Eukaryota; Metazoa; Chordata; Mammalia; Carnivora; Felidae.